Molecule: ribosomal RNA, 301 nt
Filed under: uncultured bacterium
Lineage: Bacteria
Description: partial 16S ribosomal RNA
Rfam family: Bacterial small subunit ribosomal RNA
Source: RNAcentral
CAGUCGCCGCGGGAAUACGUAGGGUGCGAGCGUUAAUCGGAAUUACUGGGCGUAAAGCGUGCGCAGGCGGUUUUGUAAGACAGAGGUGAAAUCCCCGGGCUCAACCUGGGAACUGCCUUUGUGACUGCAAGGCUAGAGUACGGCAGAGGGGGAUGGAAUUCCGCGUGUAGCAGUGAAAUGCGUAGAUAUGCGGAGGAACACCGAUGGCGAAGGCAAUCCCCUGGGCCUGUACUGACGCUCAUGCACGAAAGCGUGGGGAGCAAACAGGAUUAGAUACCCCCGUAGUCCCGUCUCUUAUACA